AAUCUUGGGCAAUGGGCGCAAGCCUGACCCAGCAACGCCGCGUGAAGGAAGAAGGCGUUCGGGUUGUAAACUUCUUUUCUUGGGGACGAAGAAAGUGACGGUACCUGAGGAAUAAGCCACGGCCAUCUACGGGCCAGCAGCCGCGGUAAUACGUAGGUGGCAAGCGUUAUCCGGAUUUAUUGGGUGUAAAGGGCGUGUAGGCGGGAAUGCAAGUCAGAUGUGAAAACUAUGGGCUCAACCCAUAGCCUGCAUUUGAAACUGUAUUUCUUGAGUGCUGGAGAGGCAAUCGGAAUUCCGUGUGUAGCGGUGAAAUGCGUAGAUAUACGGAGGAACACCAGUGGCGAAGGCGGAUUGCUGGACAGUAACUGACGCUGAGGCGCGAAAGCGUGGGGAGCAAA
RNAcentral lists this ribosomal RNA (398 nucleotides) under uncultured bacterium. RNAcentral describes it as "bacterial SSU rRNA". It matches the Rfam family "Bacterial small subunit ribosomal RNA", at positions 360 to 772 of the family's 1533-position model. The record is from RNAcentral.